This 474-nucleotide ribosomal RNA is filed under the name uncultured bacterium. Its description in RNAcentral is "bacterial SSU rRNA". It matches the Rfam family "Bacterial small subunit ribosomal RNA", at positions 915 to 1391 of the family's 1533-position model. The record is from RNAcentral.
GGGGACCCGCAAGCGGUGGAUGAUGUGGAUUAAUUCGAUGCAACGCGAAAAACCUUACCUACCCUUGACAUGUACGGAAGCCCGGAGAGAUUCGGGCGUGCUCGAAAGAGAGCCGUAACACAGGUGCUGCAUGGCUGUCGUCAGCUCGUGUCGUGAGAUGUUGGGUUAAGUCCCGCAACGAGCGCAACCCUUGUCAUUAGUUGCUACAUUCAGUUGAGCACUCUAAUGAGACUGCCGGUGACAAACCGGAGGAAGGUGGGGAUGACGUCAAGUCCUCAUGGCCCUUAUGGGUAGGGCUUCACACGUCAUACAAUGGUACAUACAGAGGGCCGCCAACCCGCGAGGGGGAGCUAAUCCCAGAAAGUGUAUCGUAGUCCGGAUUGCAGUCUGCAACUCGACUGCAUGAAGUUGGAAUCGCUAGUAAUCGCGGAUCAGCAUGUCGCGGUGAAUACGUUCCUGGGUCUUGUACACACC